UACGUAGGGUGCAGGCGUUUAAUCGGAAUUACUGGGCGUAAAGCGUGCGCAGGCGGUUUGCUAAGACAGGUGUGAAAUCCCCCGGGCUUAACCUGGGAACUGCGCUUGUAACUGGCAAGCUAGAGUGUGGCAGAGGGGGGGUGGAAUUCCACGUGUAGCAGUGAAAUGCGUAGAGAUGUGGAGGAACACCGAUGGCGAAGGCAGCCCCCCUGGGC
RNAcentral lists this ribosomal RNA (215 nucleotides) under uncultured bacterium. Its description in RNAcentral is "partial 16S ribosomal RNA". It matches the Rfam family "Bacterial small subunit ribosomal RNA", at positions 524 to 734 of the family's 1533-position model. The record is from RNAcentral.